RNAcentral lists this ribosomal RNA (947 nucleotides) under Neomicrosphaeropsis novorossica. Its description in RNAcentral is "SSU rRNA". It matches the Rfam family "Eukaryotic small subunit ribosomal RNA", at positions 83 to 1038 of the family's 1831-position model. Lineage: Eukaryota; Fungi; Ascomycota; Dothideomycetes; Pleosporales; Didymellaceae. The record is from RNAcentral.
GAAACUGCGAAUGGCUCAUUAAAUCAGUUAUCGUUUAUUUGAUAGUACCUUACUACUUGGAUAACCGUGGUAAUUCUAGAGCUAAUACAUGCUUAAAACCCCAACUUCGGGAGGGGUGUAUUUAUUAGAUAAAAAACCAACGCCCUUCGGGGCUUCUUGGUGAUUCAUGAUAACUUCACGGAUCGCAUGGCCUUGCGCCGGCGACGGUUCAUUCAAAUUUCUGCCCUAUCAACUUUCGAUGGUAAGGUAUUGGCUUACCAUGGUUUCAACGGGUAACGGGGAAUUAGGGUUCGAUUCCGGAGAGGGAGCCUGAGAAACGGCUACCACAUCCAAGGAAGGCAGCAGGCGCGCAAAUUACCCAAUCCCGACACGGGGAGGUAGUGACAAUAAAUACUGAUACAGGGCUCUUUUGGGUCUUGUAAUUGGAAUGAGUACAAUUUAAACCUCUUAACGAGGAACAAUUGGAGGGCAAGUCUGGUGCCAGCAGCCGCGGUAAUUCCAGCUCCAAUAGCGUAUAUUAAAGUUGUUGCAGUUAAAAAGCUCGUAGUUGAAACUUGGGCCUGGCUGGCAGGUCCGCCUCACCGCGUGUACUUGUCCGGCCGGGCCUUUCCUUCUGGAGAACCUCAUGCCCUUCACUGGGUGUGUUGGGGAACCAGGACUUUUACUUUGAAAAAAUUAGAGUGUUCAAAGCAGGCCUUUGCUCGAAUACGUUAGCAUGGAAUAAUAGAAUAGGACGUGCGGUCCUAUUUUGUUGGUUUCUAGGACCGCCGUAAUGAUUAAUAGGGACAGUCGGGGGCAUCAGUAUUCAAUUGUCAGAGGUGAAAUUCUUGGAUUUAUUGAAGACUAACUACUGCGAAAGCAUUUGCCAAGGAUGUUUUCAUUAAUCAGUGAACGAAAGUUAGGGGAUCGAAGACGAUCAGAUACCGUCGUAGUCUUAACCGUAAACU